ACCCUGGUGGCGGAACAGGUAGACGCGCAGGACUUAAAAUCCUGUCUGCAGAAAUGCGGGUACGGGUUCGAUUCCCGUCUGGGGUACCA
This 89-nucleotide transfer RNA is filed under the name Bacteroidota bacterium. RNAcentral describes it as "tRNA-Leu". It matches the Rfam family "tRNA". From Rfam's summary of the family: Transfer RNA (tRNA) molecules are approximately 80 nucleotides in length. Their secondary structure includes four short double-helical elements and three loops (D, anti-codon, and T loops). The record is from RNAcentral. Lineage: Bacteria; Pseudomonadati; Bacteroidota. RNAcentral also lists the same sequence under 2 other names.